AUGGAGAACGGAUGCGUAUCAGCCCGGAUCAGGUCGUCCUCUUCUCCUCCCGGCGGCAGCGACACGGCGGCCGAGAGACUCACCGACGACCUCCUCGUCGAGAUCCUCUCGCGCGUGCCCGCCAGGUCGCUCUGCCGCUUCAAGUGCGUCUCCAAGCACUGGCUCGGCCUCAUCAACGACCGCACCUACCGCCGGAAGCUGCCCCAGACCCUGGCCGGCUUCUACGACGGGGGUCAAUUUGUAGAUUCAGGUCUUCCUUUCACCAAUAUCUCGGGAAGCCGCCAUCUCACAUAUCCCGCCUUCCUGCCCGGCCGCCGGCGGGUCAUGGUCGAGGACUGUUGCAACGGCCUCCUUCUCUUCUCCUCAUACGUUGCUGGCGACCAUGGCGACGAGUUAUACGUUGUGUGCAAUCCCGCCACAGAGGAAUGGGCUGAGUUGCCGCAUUCCGGCUAUUCCAGCUAUUCCGGUGAUGUGUCUAGUAUAAACUUGUGUUUUGAUCCAGCCGUGUCCCCCCAUUUCCAUGUGUUUUUGUUGCCGGCCGUGGAGGUGGAUGACCAACAUGGCUUCUGUAUUACCGGAGUGCAUGUCUAUUCAUCUGAAACCGGGAGUUGGGUUCAUAAGGAGAAGAGAUGGAGCGGCAAUAUUGAUGUCGGUUAUGAUCCGUCAUUUAUCUAUCUCAAUGGUUAUCUGCAUUUUUGCGCCAUUGUUGAUGAUUCUGCCCGCCAGCUAGCUGCAGUGGACAAGGAGGGGGGAGCAAGGACUGACUUUCGUGUUCCUGAUGGUCUGGAUGUUGGUUUUAUUCAGCAGUCACAGGGCUGCCUGCAUUAUGCUGGUUUUGACAGAGAUGGCAAUGAUGAUGAUGUUGAUUGA
RNAcentral lists this ribosomal RNA (870 nucleotides) under Triticum aestivum (bread wheat). RNAcentral describes it as "partial small subunit ribosomal RNA". The record is from RNAcentral. Lineage: Eukaryota; Viridiplantae; Streptophyta; Magnoliopsida; Poales; Poaceae.